GUGUUUCCGAAAUGCUCUCCCUGGCAAAAAGACUGAAGACGUUGCCUUGGUGCGUGGAGUCCGCCGGCAACCAACUCCAGCGAGUGCGGAAGGAGGCGCGGUCGCCUAGGCGGCGGUCGAGGUCUCCGGCGCUGGCGAUAAGGAAGGCGGAGGAGAAGUCGGAGUGGUGAAUUGUAAGUAGUUGACGGCGAAAUGCACGAGAUCGGCGACCACGUGCCGCCACGUGAGCGGUUAGUGAUUUCGAGAGAUAACAUCCCCAACAAGCGUCGGAAGCAGCUCCGGGAACAUUUCAUGCGCCGCACUCGCCUCGUUCUCAAAGAAAUGGAGCAUGAGCCUUGGUGCAAAAAGUAUAUGGAGCUGUACCAGGAGCUUAGAGAGAAUUGGGAAAGGCUGUACUGGGAUCAUGCGAAUUACGAGUAAGCUGAAGAUGAUGAUCAGGAUUUCUCUUUGUACCGGAGCAAGCAAUCCCAUUUCGAGCAAUUUCAGGUUCGAUCUGUUACACUGAUAUAGUUAAAGUUAUACCUGAUGAUAUUUAUAACUCUGCAUUAUCCCACAUUUCACAAUGUUUUUUUUUUUUUUUUUACCUACAAAAUUAUAUUCUAUAACCACACCUAACAUCUUCUUGUAUAAUCUUCAAUGGAAUAUAAUGUUAAAUUAAGUAGAAGCAAUUUUAGUUCAUUUGAUUAGUCACCUGGUUGCUUAUUAGCUCCUGCAUUUCAAUAGUAUGUAAUGGAAGGGAAUAAUCAAGUUACAAGUGAUGCUGAAGUACACAUUUCGAUAGCUCAAAUAUAUGUUUUUAUACACGUGCAUGUGGCAUGUUUUUCUAUAUGUCAGAGAUAUUCUGGGUGUGAGGUUUGAGUGGCCACCUGGAGGAAACCCAAGAAAUUCACUUUUUUUGGGGGUGGUGGGGAAGUUGGAGAUUAGAAAGGAUGGAGGGGAGGAACAGGGUAUCAAGAGGGGGAUGUUGACUCGUAGUUAAUCAGUUUUUCCAUGCUACCCAAAACUUAUUAACUAAGAGUCAACAUUCCCCUUAGUUAGGUUACUAUCUUUCACUAAUUCAAAUAUUUGACACUGGCUGAUAGGACUGAAAGUGCAAUCAGAAGUUUUCUCUGGGAAGACGGUAAGAAAGGGAAAAAAGAUUUGUUGGUUAAGUGGGAGGGUUUUGAAAAUUUUAAUGUGAGAGAUUUGGUAUGCUGUCAUUAAUUGAAAUUAUGGGUUUGCAAGAGAAGGGUGGGAUCGAUUCUUGCAUUUUGACAAGAGGUUCAAGUCGUUGUCCUUGGAAGGAUAUCUUUCAAGGCGUAAAUAUUUUUUUUAUUCCCUUUGUCAAUUCUGGGUGAGAGUGGGAAAAGAGCGAGUCUCCGUGUAGAUCGUUGGGUGGGGAAAACAGAAGAUUUUCCUCCAUUAUACAGACUCAUUUUUAGAAUGCUCCUAUUGUAAGAUUGUGUGCUAGUUCUGUUUCUCAUCUUUUGUCUUGGGUUUUGAGUUUUGGAGGAAUCUUAAUGUUCAGGAGUUGGGGGAAUAAACAUAUUUGUUGGCAUGUUUAGAAAUAUUAUUCUGCUUCUAUCAAGAUCGGAUAGGAGAGUAUGCAAGCUGGAGUCAUCAGGAUUCUUCUUAGAUAUGGACCUUUCUUGUCUUUUUCUGGACCUCGUUUAGGCUAAGGUACCCGGAAAGGUGCGAGCGCUAUUCUGGAGUAUUGCUGGUGGUAGAUUGAUUACUUGUGAUAUGGUUCAGAAGUUCUUGGUGUGUUUCACCUAAUUUCUGUGAGAUGUACAGAAAUGAUCCAGAAAGUUUGAAUCAUUUGCUGUCUCGCUGUCCCAUAGCUUUGACUUUGCUUGGAAAGGUUUUUUUGGGAGGCUAUUAUGAGUGCGGAUAUUCACUAUCAUGUUAUGCUCUAUUGUCGUCUAAGCACUUUAAGUACUUUGGGGAAGAACGAUGGGUAAGAUGCAUGGCAUCUUGCUGCAGCUGUAGUUGUUAGCACCUGCAAUAAGCUUCUCGAGUAGUUAAUUAUCAAUGACUCAAUGUAUUAAGUCAUGUAUUUUAUAUUCAAUCAUUUGUAACCGAAAAAACUUUAGAAACAAAGAAGAAGAAAAAAAUCAUCUAUAGCGCUG
This is a long non-coding RNA of Rosa rugosa (rugosa rose), 2108 nucleotides long. RefSeq lists it as uncharacterized. NCBI's taxonomy places the organism in Eukaryota, Viridiplantae, Streptophyta, Magnoliopsida, Rosales, Rosaceae. The record is from RefSeq and is a predicted model, not a curated record. The transcript is spliced from 3 exons.